RNAcentral lists this transfer RNA (50 nucleotides) under Diaphorina citri (Asian citrus psyllid). RNAcentral's name for it is "tRNA-Glu". Lineage: Eukaryota; Metazoa; Arthropoda; Insecta; Hemiptera; Psyllidae. The record is from RNAcentral.
CUCUUGUAGUUUACUUAAAACACUGCCCUUUCACCGCAAAGAAGAAUAAU